CAACUUCCACCUGGCUUACCUCCNUCAGUUAUGCGUCAUGACUUGUAUCGUCUUGAGCGUAUUGUGGGUUUCCUGUGUUGCAUACCUAAUAAUGGAAUCGUUUUGGUUGAUUGAAGUCCCUUUUCAUCACGUGUUGCCUUUGCGACGCAUGAUGAACCUCGAAGCGGUCUCUAUGUUCCACCACGUUGAUGCUAGUGUCUUGAUGUUGUGGCCCAUUGAGUGUUGCUUGGUUUCGUGGAUACAGAACAUGAUUUGGGCAUAGGGUCACCUGUGACUCUUGUUUUGUCCUUUAUCAGUGUUCUCUAUAACGACGGUUCAUGCGCGCCUAGGCUCGUACCUGCGCGAUGUUCUUUGUCGAAGAGGAAUGCUACCUGGUUGAUCCUGCCAGUAGUCAUAUGCUUGUCUCAAAGAUUAAGCCAUGCAUGUGUAAGUA
RNAcentral lists this unclassified non-coding RNA (433 nucleotides) under Senecio glomeratus. RNAcentral describes it as "partial contains external transcribed spacer and 18S ribosomal RNA". The stretch from base 369 to 433 matches the Rfam family "Eukaryotic small subunit ribosomal RNA", at positions 1 to 65 of the family's 1831-position model. The record is from RNAcentral. Lineage: Eukaryota; Viridiplantae; Streptophyta; Magnoliopsida; Asterales; Asteraceae.